RNAcentral lists this ribosomal RNA (1343 nucleotides) under uncultured bacterium. Its description in RNAcentral is "16S ribosomal RNA". It matches the Rfam family "Bacterial small subunit ribosomal RNA", at positions 28 to 1378 of the family's 1533-position model. The record is from RNAcentral.
GACGAACGCUGGCGGCGUGCUUAACACAUGCAAGUCGAACGGAAAGGCCCUGCUUUUGUGGGGUGCUCGAGUGGCGAACGGGUGAGUAACACGUGAGUAACCUGCCCUUGACUUUGGGAUAACUUCAGGAAACUGGGGCUAAUACCGGAUAGGAGCUCCUGCUGCAUGGUGGGGGUUGGAAAGUUUCGGCGGUUGGGGAUGGACUCGCGGCUUAUCAGCUUGUUGGUGGGGUAGUGGCUUACCAAGGCUUUGACGGGUAGCCGGCCUGAGAGGGCGACCGGCCACAUUGGGACUGAGAUACGGCCCAGACUCCUACGGGAGGCAGCAGUGGGGAAUAUUGCACAAUGGGCGGAAGCCUGAUGCAGCAACGCCGCGUGCGGGAUGACGGCCUUCGGGUUGUAAACCGCUUUCGCCUGUGACGAAGCGUGAGUGACGGUAAUGGGUAAAGAAGCACCGGCUAACUACGUGCCAGCAGCCGCGGUGAUACGUAGGGUGCGAGCGUUGUCCGGAUUUAUUGGGCGUAAAGGGCUCGUAGGUGGUUGAUCGCGUCGGAAGUGUAAUCUUGGGGCUUAACCCUGAGCGUGCUUUCGAUACGGGUUGACUUGAGGAAGGUAGGGGAGAAUGGAAUUCCUGGUGGAGCGGUGGAAUGCGCAGAUAUCAGGAGGAACACCAGUGGCGAAGGCGGUUCUCUGGGCCUUUCCUGACGCUGAGGAGCGAAAGCGUGGGGAGCGAACAGGCUUAGAUACCCUGGUAGUCCACGCUGUAAACGGUGGGUACUAGGUGUGGGGUCCAUUCCACGGGUUCCGUGCCGUAGCUAACGCUUUAAGUACCCCGCCUGGGGAGUACGGCCGCAAGGCUAAAACUCAAAGGAAUUGACGGGGCCCCGCACAAGCGGCGGAGCAUGCGGAUUAAUUCGAUGCAACGCGUAGAACCUUACCUGGGUUUGACAUGGAUCGGGAGUGCUCAGAGAUGGGUGUGCCUCUUUUGGGGUCGGUUCACAGGUGGUGCAUGCCUGUCGUCAGCUCGUGUCGUGAGAUGUUGGGUUAAGUCCCGCAACGAGCGCAACCCUUGUUCACUGUUGCCAGCACGUUAUGGUGGGGACUCAGUGGAGACCGCCGGGGUCAACUCGGAGGAAGGUGGGGAUGACGUCAAGUCCUCAUGCCCCUUAUGUCCAGGGCUUCACGCACGCUACAAUGGCUGGUACAGAGAGUGGCGAGCCUGUGAGGGUGAGCGAAUCUCGGAAAGCCGGUCUCAGUUCGGAUUGGGGUCUGCAACUCGACCUCAUGAAGUCGGAGUCGCUAGUAAUCGCAGAUCAGCAACGCUGCGGUGAAUACGUUCCCGGG